GUGCCACCAGCCCGCGAUAAUACGUAAAGGGGCGAGCGUAGACCGGGAAUUACUGGGUCGUCAAGAGCUCCGGAGCCCGGAUUGUCCGUCGUCUGUGAAUCCUAGGGCUUAACCCUGGACGUGCAGGCGAUACGGGCUGACUUGAGUACUACAGGGGAGACUGGAAUUUCUGGUGUAGCGGUGGAAUGCACAGAUAUCAGGAAGAACACCGAUGGCGAAGGCAGGUCUCUGGGUAGUAACUGACGCUGAGGAGCGAAAGCAUGGGUAGCGAACAGGAUUAGAUACCCUGGUAGUCC
RNAcentral lists this ribosomal RNA (296 nucleotides) under uncultured microorganism. Its description in RNAcentral is "partial 16S ribosomal RNA". It matches the Rfam family "Bacterial small subunit ribosomal RNA", at positions 505 to 796 of the family's 1533-position model. The record is from RNAcentral.